Molecule: ribosomal RNA, 498 nt
Filed under: Shigella sonnei
Lineage: Bacteria; Pseudomonadati; Pseudomonadota; Gammaproteobacteria; Enterobacterales; Enterobacteriaceae
Description: partial 23S ribosomal RNA
Rfam family: Bacterial large subunit ribosomal RNA
Source: RNAcentral
GGGUUGUGAGGUUAAGCGACUAAGCGUACACGGUGGAUGCCCUGGCAGUCAGAGGCGAUGAAGGACGUGCUAAUCUGCGAUAAGCGUCGGUAAGGUGAUAUGAACCGUUAUAACCGGCGAUUUCCGAAUGGGGAAACCCAGUGUGUUUCGACACACUAUCAUUAACUGAAUCCAUAGGUUAAUGAGGCGAACCGGGGGAACUGAAACAUCUAAGUACCCCGAGGAAAAGAAAUCAACCGAGAUUCCCCCAGUAGCGGCGAGCGAACGGGGAGGAGCCCAGAGCCUGAAUCAGUGUGUGUGUUAGUGGAAGCGUCUGGAAAGGCGCGCGAUACAGGGUGACAGCCCCGUACACAAAAAUACACAUAUUGUGAGCUCGAUGAGUAGGGCGGGACACGUGGUAUCCUGUCUGAAUAUGGGGGGACCAUCCUCCAAGGCUAAAUACUCCUGACUGACCGAUAGUGAACCAGUACCGUGAGGGAAAGGCGAAAAGAACCCCGG